CCGCCUUGCAGUUUGAUCUCAGACUGCUGUGCUAGAAAUCAGCGAGACUCCGUGGGCGUAGGAGCCUCCGAGCCAGUCAUGGUCUGGAGUCAAGAAAUGAAGAGGGCAAGCAAUGUUUUUGGCAUCCUGACUACAGUUACAUGCAGUUUGGGGCUGCUGCAAUGGCAACUCAACGGAGAGGUUAGGAACACCAACUCCAGGAUCAGGCAAUCUUUGAAUCCCUGUCACUAGCAGCUUUGUAUAUUGGAGCAAGUUACUUAACAUCUGUAUUCAGUGACAUCUUUCUAAAUUGUUUAAAAUGAGAAGCAUUGCACACUGAGAGUCAGGAUCCAAGUGUCUUUGACUGAGCCAACUCAGCUCUGCUAUUAACUUAUGGUGUGAUCGCAGGCUGUCUAGAAAAGGACACCAACAAUCACCCAUGAAGAUUGCCCUUCAACCUUUGGGAGGAAAUGAUCGAAAUGGGAGCUAGAGAAGAUUGUUGUUGGAAUCUCAGUUCUUCAGAGAGCUACUAUCAACAGAUUGAGUUGACAGGAAAAAGUCAUAAUCCAGGCCAAAGUGAGCAAACUCCCAAGAGCAUUCCUGGUCAGCACCGCAGCAAAUCCGUGGCAAGUGCAGAGAUUAUAAGCAAUUUCUCCAUGGCUGGAAUUCAGUUGAUCUGGGACUGAACCUAUUUCUAAUGGGGUCUUGAUAUAUUGCCCAGGCUGGAGUGCAGGGGCUAUUCACAGGCACAAUCAUAGCUCACUACAGUCUCAAACUCCUAAUCUCAAGCAGUAGCUGGGACUGUAAGUAUGCACCAACACUCCCGGUUUGGGUAUCUCCAUUGAUUGGCAACCAGCACCACAGUAGAUGCUGAUGAAAAGAAAGUUAUGAAUGUCAUGUAAAAUGACAGUAGUAUUAGCAAAUGUGCUUUUAAUUAUAAGAAAAUUACAAUAUGUAAAAAAAUUUCAAUUUUCCCAUAUUAUCUCUUAAUAAUAACUGCCAUUUGUUGAGCCCAUUGGGUAUGUUACAUAUAUUAACACAACAGGAUGGACAUUAUCUAUCUUAUAUAUAUUAUGUGUAUAUAUACGGAAAACAGGACACAAAUUGUCUGAGGCCAUGGACAAUUAGCUUGCAGUAAAGUAGGAUUCUAAAUUAGGUUUCUCUAGCUCCAAGACCCAUGCCAUUUUGUUUGGUCAUUUGCUUCUGAUGAAUCAAAUAUUAAUUCAGCCAAAGACAGCUAUUCAAAGCUGGUUGAAUAACUUACUAUGUGUAAUUCACUUGUGUCCUGCCUUUCUUCCGAACUUUUGUACAAAACCUUGAUUAUUUUAAUAAGGCAUUCUAUACAUAAAGUUUCAAAUAAACCAUAAGUACCUCAAGAAAAUGUCAUAUAAUUUAGAAUUGAAUCAUAGCAUAUUUUUAAUCUGGAAGCAACAUAUCUAAAUAAGCCAUUUUUAUAUUAUAAAUACAAACAGGUACAAAGAAGUAUAGUUCACUUUACAAGCUGUUGUACAUGCAUAAUACCAUAUUAUGCUACCAAAGAAACUAUUAAGUUAUACAUAUUUUUUACAGCUUUAACUAUUUUUGUUGUCAAUUUCCUCUAAUAAGAUUUUUUCUGGAUAAACAAAAAUUUAUCUACUCAAAUGAUUGUUUUUCUUCAACAUCAUAAUGUUGCAGGCCUAUUGAUGUAUAUUUUUGUGUACUAAAUAGUUUGUGGAGCUCUUCUUGAAGAAUUAUCUUCAGAGCUGAUUAACCAGACACACCCUCCAGACAUCAUAGUCACAGCUGCUUUGAGACAGCAACAACCUCAUCCCCGCAAAUAGUAUGGAUUCCUGUCUUAUUCAAUAGGUCUGAAUUUUAAAUACUCUUAGCUUAUUUCAAGAACUAAAUCUAUCCUCCACAAAUAAAAAUGUGCUGCCGCUCAGAAUAUUUAGGAGAAUAUGUGAUAGCCAAGAUACUUUUGGCUUAUUUCAAAAAUUCAUCUAUCUCCACAAAGGAAAAUGUUUCACCAUUCAGAAUAUUCAAGAGAAUUUUCUUAGAAAAGAAAUCCAAGAUUGUAUUCAUUGGAAUAACAGACCUUUCUUCAAGGUGACUUCUUUCAAAAGAACAAUAUUUAGGGGUAUAUAGAACAUCAUUUUUAAAAUAAUUUAUUUUGCUAUAUUUACCACAUUUCAUGACACCCUAAAAGAUUUUGGCUAAUGAAAUUUAUACAGUUCAAAUGUGUAUUCCUGAAGAGACAAGACUGAGGGAAAAAAAAUUAUCUCAAAGUCAUUCUCAAAUUAGACAUGAAAUGAAUUAUUAAUUUCUACAUAUUUUACCAUCAUGCUUGUAGUUUUAAUAAACAAAAAUCAAAUGCAUAUAGGCUUCACACACUUUGUGUAAUUGCUUGUUUAACAUCCCCAAAUUCCAUAAAUGCAAAAACUAGAUCUGUCUGGCUUUCCAUUAAGUCCCCAGCACCUAGCAAGGUGCUUAACAAAUAGCAGAUGGAUGUUGGAAGGAAUAAAGGAACAAAGAAAAGAAUAGAAGAAGUUAGUGACUUGAUUCUAUACAGAGUGGACCUUGACACAUACUGCAAGUGAAUGUUAAACUAAAAGUAUAAUUUCUUUAUCAGUGAAUAUAUUUCCAUGAAUUUUAAGUAUUUUGCUGAUGAUUUAUUAAAUAUGUAUUUCACUACUUUCUUUUCUUUUAAUCAGUCCUAUUCCAUCCCCUUCAAAUAAUAAAAAAGUUUCAAUGAUUCAGACUAUUUUUGAAAAGAAGCAUACACACACACACACACACACACACACACACACUAAACAAGCCUUUAAAACUAAAAAGAUUCAUCAGAAAAUCUUACAAACUCUGGAAAGAAUACAUCUCAACAAUUCUCUGCACUUGAAGGAUAAUUUGAAAGGCACAGUUUGCCUUCAUUAAUAAAUCUUAACACUAAUGAACCUGCAAGAAGGAUUUAGGAAUCCAUUGUACUUGAAAAAGAUCAAGAGGAACAUUGUCACAUCAGGAAACCGUGCUAAGAGCUCGUUAAAUGGCCUGACUUAAAAUGCUGUAUGAACCUAAACAAAGAAGUUUUUAUAGUGUAUCUUUCUGCUUCUACCUGCCUAGAUAUCAAAUUAUGUUAUGAAGCAUUCUCUAUAAAGGAAUAGAUCAAUGCCAUAUCUCCCUCAUAGGAAUGGGACAGAUAUUAUUUGACUCCACUUACGGUUGCUAUGAAAUUUAGGCCCUCUCUUGCUAGAACUUCUCAUUUUUCAAGAGAAGCCAGAAAUAAGAUUGUUAUGUAAAUCUUAACAUUUUUAGUGCUGGCAACUAUUUAAAUUUUUUAGACACUGUGGGGGACUUCUGCUUUUCAUAAGGAUGUCAGAAGUUCACCCUAGAACAAGCUGGCUAAACUAGGUUAAAAUUAAAACCAUCCAGGAAUUGAAGCACAAAGAAACCUAAAUAAGGUGAUAAGCCCUUCCUAGGACAGAAGAGAUGCACAGCUACUUUCAUCCCUGAUGAAGCAGCAGGAGAAGGGAGAAUCUACCAUAGACAGCAGUAAGGAGGAACCAGACAAACUUUUAACAAACUUUUAAUGGCUAUCCGUUGAGAUUAUGGAUUAAAUUUCUGGGCUUUAGCCACAGAACAAGUCUGCAUCAUCUCACCAAUGGUGUCUUCACUAAGUGCAUGCAGGUAGUAUACUGAAGGCUGGGAGUGGAAGGAGAGGAGGCAGGGUCUGCUGAGGCAUGCAGGUCUUCCCCAAGUACAAGGGGGAAACCACUGAAGAUCAGGGACAGGAGAGAAACGCUAAGAAAAGUCCCUUUAAGGUCUCUACUGAUGUUCAGAAGUAGACCUCCAAAGAAAGAAUUAAGGUACCUCUCAAAGAUACAGAAAGCUGGAGGUGGGACCUAUGGGAAAUAUCACCUGGC
This 3875-nucleotide long non-coding RNA is filed under the name Homo sapiens (human). RNAcentral's name for it is "HSALNT0320694". Lineage: Eukaryota; Metazoa; Chordata; Mammalia; Primates; Hominidae. The record is from RNAcentral.